UGGUGGCGACCGGCGCACGGGUGCGUAACGCGUAUGCAACCUACCUUUAACAGGGGGAUAACACUGAGAAAUUGGUACUAAUACCCCGUAAUAUCAUAGAAGGCAUCUUUUAUGGUUGAAAAUUCCGAUGGUUAGAGAUGGGCAUGCGUUGUAUUAGCUAGUUGGUGGGGUAACGGCUCACCAAGGCGACGAUACAUAGGGGGACUGAGAGGUUAACCCCCCACACUGGUACUGAGACACGGACCAG
Molecule: ribosomal RNA, 247 nt
Filed under: uncultured bacterium
Lineage: Bacteria
Description: partial 16S ribosomal RNA
Rfam family: Bacterial small subunit ribosomal RNA
Source: RNAcentral